This is a long non-coding RNA of Oncorhynchus tshawytscha (Chinook salmon), 4140 nucleotides long. The record is from Ensembl. NCBI's taxonomy places the organism in Eukaryota, Metazoa, Chordata, Actinopteri, Salmoniformes, Salmonidae.
GCAAUUUCUAUUAUGAUUUUAUAGUCCAGGCCACAGUUACAUACAUGUACAGUCAUAAAUUACUAAUUUCAGGACCAAAACUGGGCUAGACUUUUGGCUUUACAACUCACCAAUUGUUCCCAAAAAUAAUAUCAGUCUUGGAUGGUGUGUGGAAUGUACUGGUUAUAUACAUAAACAAGACAUAGCCUGGACAUAACUCAAUAGCAUCUGUGUUUGGGAGAAUGCCACAGCCUUCUUCAAACUGGGUGCAUUGAAAUAGUUUUUAAAAUAGUUCAUCCAAGGUUAUUUAUAUAUAUAUAUAUAUUUAUAUAUAUAUAUAUAUAUAUAUAUAUAUACACACACACACUAUACAUUCAUUCUGUGUUUAUGCCUCUGAUUUAAGCUAAGUCAAUAGUCAGUAACACUUCACUUAAAGUAUACAGCUAUAAUGUGAAGGAUUUAUGGGAGCCAUCCUGGUAUCUCUUCAUUAUUGAUUACUCAAAGUAUUAGAUGAUUUAAUGACAAAGACAAUGGCAGACACGAACGGGCACCCGGGAGAAAACUCGAGUACAGAUUUCAGGUCCAUUUUCUCCAAGCCUUAUUUCCUUGUUCAUCUCUGUUCAUACCUAGUUUUGUAUCAUAAUGUGCCUUGGAAUAAUUGGUUACAGUAAUCAAAUUCAACAUAUCACAACAGCUGGAGUGUAGCGUUUCAAUAAACCGCUCGACCAUAUUCCUGUUAAACUUCAAGGUGACAAAUUUAACCAUUACAUCAGUGUUGUUGACAACAAACCACAGAUGCCAUUAGCUUGUUAGUGACUGGAGUGCACACAGCAGGGCCUUCUCUCUUGACCUUCGGAGCAAACCCUCCCUAUCAUAGACUCAAUGGACUCUAAAAAGAUGAAAUUAUUUUCACCACCUGUAGGAUGACCCCAUAUUCUAUGAUAACAGAAAAGAACAUUUGUAUUUUAUUUUUACUCGAAGGCCAGUCGGACAUCACUGCUCGCUGUCCAUGAGUUUACAAACAAAACCCAGAGGCAUAUUAUACACAGUGCCUUGGGAAGUAUUCAGACCCCUUGACCUUUUCCACAUUUUUGUUACGUUACAGCCUUAUUCUAAAAAUGGAUUAAAUAAAUAAAACAUCCUCAGCAAUCUACACACAAUACCCCAUAAUGACAAAGCGAAAACAAGAUUUUUGACAUUUGUAAAAAACAGAAAUUCCUUAUUUACAUAAGUAUUCAGACCCUUUGCUAUGAGACUCGAAAUUGAGCUCCGAUGCAUCCUGUUUCCAUUGGUCAUCCUUUUAGAUGUUUCUACAACUUGAUUAGAGUCCACCUGUGGUAAAUUCAAUUGAAUGGACAUGAUUUGGAAAGGCACACACCUGUCUAUAUAAAGGUCCCACAGAUGACAGGGCAUGUCAGAGCAAAAAACAAGUCAUGUGGUUGAAGGAAUUGUCCGUAGAGCUCAGAGAUAGGAUUGUGUCAAGGCACAGAUUUUGGGAAGGGUACCAAAAAAAUUCUGCGACAUUGAAGAUCCCCAAGAACACAGUGGCCUGCAUCAUUCUUUAAUGGAAGAAGUUUGGAACCACCAAGACCCUUCCUAGAGCUGGCCGCCCGGCCACACAGCAAUCGGGAGAGAAGGGCCUUGGUCAGGGAGGUGAACAACAACCCGAUGGUCACUCUGACAGACUCUAGAGUUCCUGUAGAGUUGGGAGAACCUUCCAGAAGGACAACCAUCUCUGCAGUACUCCACCAAUCAGGCCUUUAUGGUAGAGUGGCCAGAUGGAAGCCACUCCUCAGGAAAAGACACGACAGCCAACUUGGAGUUUGCCAAAAGGCAUCUAAAGACUCUCAGACCAUGAGAAACAAGAUUUCUUUAGUCUGAUGAAACCAAUAUUGAACACUUUGGCCUGAAUGUCAAGCGUCCCGUCUGGUGGAAACCUGGCACCAUCCAUUUGGUGAAGCAUGGUGGUGGCAGCAUCAUGCUGUGGGGAUGUUUUUCAGUGGCAGGGACUGGGAGACUAGUCAGGAUCGAGGCAAAGAUGAACAGAGCAAAGUACAGAGAGAUCCUUGAUGAAAACCUUCUCUAGAGCAUUCAGGACCUCAGACUGGGGCAAAGGUUCACCUUCCAACAGGACAAUCAUCCUAAGCACACAGACAAGACAACGCUUCAGGACAAAUCUCUGAAUGUCCUUGAGUGGCCCAGCCAGAACCUGGACUUGAACCUGACCGAACAUUUCAGGAGAGACCUGAAAAUAGCUGUGCAGCAACGCUUCCAAUCCAACCUGAAAGAGCUUGAAAGGAUCUGCAGAGAAGAAUAGGAAAAACUCCCCAAAUACAGUCGUGCCAAGCUUGUAGCGUCAUACCCAAGAAGACUUGAUGCUUUUUGACCUGAUGCUGCCAAAGGUGCUUCAACAAAGUCCUGAGUAAAGGGUCUGAAUACUUAUGCAAAUUUGAUAUCCAUUUUCAAUUGUUAAUAAAUUAGCAAAAAAAUCCUAAAAACCUGUUUUGCUUUGUGAUUAUGGGGUAUUAUGUGUAGAUUGAUGAGGGAAAAAACUAUUUCAUACAUUUUUUGAAUAAAGCUGUAAAGUAACAAAUUGUGACCAGAGUCAGCACUGUUGACACCAGAUAGGUACUGUAGAUACCAGAUAGUCAGAUAGGCACUGUUGACACCAGAUAGUCACUGUUGACACCAGAUAGUCACUGUUGACACCAUAUAGGUACUGUAGACACCAGAUAGGUACUGUAGACACCAGAUAGGUACUGUAGACACCAGAUAGGUACUGUAGACACCAGAUAGUCAGAUAGGUACUGUAGACACCAGAUAGUCAGAUAGGUACUGUAGACACCAGAUAGUCAGAUAGGUACUGUAGACACCAGAUAGGUACUGUAGACACCAGAUAGUCAGAAAGGUACUGUAGACACCAGAUAGUCAGAAAGGUACUGUAGACACCAGAUAGGUACUAUAGACACCAGAUAGUCAGAUAGGUACUGUAGUCUCACACGCUUGCAGACACUUUCGACGUUGAGGGAUUUUUAUAAUUUACGAUGAGGCUUACUAGUGUAAUAAGCCUUUUGUGAAAUGUUUCAUUUUCAUGGUUUAGGACCAACUAAAAGGGUAAGAACUAGAUCAAAGAAUUGUCUCAACAAUUUCUUAUAUUUAUUUCCCCCUUUUCAUUACAGGCAGAUAAGAGAAUACGACAUGCCACUGAACACAUAAUGAAAAUAGACGAGGAAGUUCAAUUCCCAAUUACUGUCAUACUGUGAGCUGUUGACAAAAAAGGGAAACAGGAAUGAUACAUUAGGAAAUAUAUCAUAUUUAUUCAUUUUUCCUACAUCAUACCCUGACUCACAUACAAUAUACCAGUCACAUGAAGCAAGCACUUAAAUCACCCAUGUGCUCGGGCAGGCUGGAACGCUCAGUGCAUAAAUAUCAUUGGUACACAAAUAAGCCCAGCCAAGGUUUCCCAAACCUAGUCUGAGACCCGGUGUUUAUCAAACCCACAUGAAACUGGUCAGUGGAAAUGGAGUGGUCCUACGACAUCACCUCAAUGAGCACAUCCAGUUCCAGACAAGUCCUUCCCGACAACAAGGUUGGAUUUUCACAAUAUUUACUCCAGCUGGAGUGAAAUGCUGCAUACGCAAUGAGCUUCCCAGACCAGGACCGAAAGAAAACUGUCCCAUCCCCUUCCCAGACCAGGACUGAAAAAAACUGGCCCAUCCCCUUCCCAGACCAGGACUGAAAAAAACUGUCCCAUCCCCUUCCCAGACCAGGACUGAAAAAAACUGUCCCAUCCCCUUCCCAGACCAGGACUGAAAGAAAACUGGUCCAUCCCCUUCCCAGACCAGGACUGAAAGAAAACUGGUCCAUCCCCUUCCCAGACCAGGACUGAAAAAAAACUGUCCCAUCCCCUUCCCAGACCAGGACGGAAAGAAAACUGGUCCAUCCCCUUCCCAGACCAGGACUGAAAGAAAACUGGUCCAUCCCCUUCCCAGACCAGGACGGAAAGAAAACUGGUCCAUCCCCUUCCCAGACCAGGACGGAAAGAAAACUGGUCCAUCCCCUUCCCAGACCAGGACUGAAAGAAAACUGGUCCAUCCCCUUCCCAGACCAGGACGGAAAGAAAACUGGUCCAUCCCCUUCCCAGACCAGGACGGAAAGAAA